CAGGUAGGUGGCUAUGUAAGUUGAGGGUGAAAUCCUUUGGCUCAACCAAAGAACUGCCUUCAAAACUACAUAGCUUGAGGUUGGGAGAGGAGAACGGAAUUCCCGGUGUAGGGGUGAAAUCUGUAGAUAUCGGGAGGAACACCAGCUGCGAAGGCGGUUCUCUGGUCCAAUCCUGACACUCAGCUGCGAAAGCUAGGGGAGCAAACAGGAUUAGAUACCCUGGUAGUCCUAGCCGUAAACGAUGAGCACUAGGUGUUUGGGCGCAAGCCUGAGCGCCGUAAGAUAACUCGUUAAGUGCUCCACCUGGGGACUACGACCGCAAGGUUAAA
This 329-nucleotide ribosomal RNA is filed under the name uncultured bacterium. Its description in RNAcentral is "bacterial SSU rRNA". It matches the Rfam family "Bacterial small subunit ribosomal RNA", at positions 568 to 898 of the family's 1533-position model. The record is from RNAcentral.